This 324-nucleotide ribosomal RNA is filed under the name uncultured Verrucomicrobiota bacterium. Its description in RNAcentral is "bacterial SSU rRNA". It matches the Rfam family "Bacterial small subunit ribosomal RNA", at positions 29 to 351 of the family's 1533-position model. The record is from RNAcentral. Lineage: Bacteria; Pseudomonadati; Verrucomicrobiota.
AACGAACGCUGGCGGCGUGUUUAAGACAUGCAAGUCGCACGGGAUUGGAUGAGUAGUAAUACGAUUCCAGUCCAGUGGCGCACGGGUGAGUAACACGUGAAUUACAUGCCCUUCAGUGGGGAAUAGCCCAGGGAAACUUGGAUUAAUACCCCAUGGUAUCGCAAGAUUAAAGGUGGCCGCAAGGCUGUCGCUGAAGGAUUGGUUCGCGCCCUAUCAGCUUGUUGGCGGGGUAACGGCCCACCAAGGCUACGACGGGUACCUGGUCUGAGAGGACGAUCAGCCACACUGGCACUGCGACACGGGCCAGACUCCUACGGGAGGCUG